GCAGCCGCGGGAAUACGGAGGGCGCGAGCGUUACCCGGAUUUACUGGGCGUAAAGGGCGUGUAGGCGGCCUGGGGCGUCCCAUGUGAAAGGCCACGGCUCAACCGUGGAGGAGCGUGGGAUACGCUCAGGCUAGAGGGUGGGAGAGGGUGGUGGAAUUCCCGGAGUAGCGGUGAAAUGCGCAGAUACCGGGAGGAACGCCGAUGGCGAAGGCAGCCACCUGGUCCACUUCUGACGCUGAGGCGCGAAAGCGUGGGGAGCAAACCGGAUUAGAUACCCCGGUAGUCCCUGUCUCUUAUACAC
This 301-nucleotide ribosomal RNA is filed under the name uncultured bacterium. Its description in RNAcentral is "partial 16S ribosomal RNA". It matches the Rfam family "Bacterial small subunit ribosomal RNA", at positions 511 to 809 of the family's 1533-position model. The record is from RNAcentral.